AUACGUAGGGUGCAAGCGUUAUCCGGAAUUAUUGGGCGUAAAGGGCUCGUAGGCGGUUCGUCGCGUCCGGUGUGAAAGUCCAUCGCUUAACGGUGGAUCCGCGCCGGGUACGGGCGGGCUUGAGUGCGGUAGGGGAGACUGGAAUUCCCGGUGUAACGGUGGAAUGUGUAGAUAUCGGGAAGAACACCAAUGGCGAAGGCAGGUCUCUGGGCCGUUACUGACGCUGAGGAGCGAAAGCGUGGGGAGCGAACAGGAUUAGAUACCCUGGUAGUCCACGCCGUAAACGGUGGAUGCUGGAUGUGGGGCCCGUUCCACGGGUUCCGUGUCGGAGCUAACGCGUUAAGCAUCCCGCCUGGGGAGUACGGCCGCAAGGCUAAAACUCAAAGAAAUUGACGGGGGCCCGCACAAGCGGCGGAGCAUGCGGAUUAAUUCGAUGCAACGCGAAGAACCUUACCUGGGCUUGACAUGUUCCCGACGGUCGUAGAGAUACGGCUUCCCUUCGGGGCGGGUUCACAGGUGGUGCAUGGUCGUCGUCAGCUCGUGUCGUGAGAUGUUGGGUUAAGUCCCGCAACGAGCGCAACCCUCGCCCCGUGUUGCCAGCGGAUUAUGCCGGGAACUCAUGGGGGACCGCCGGGGUUAACUCGGAGGAAGGUGGGGAUGACGUCAGAUCAUCAUGCCCCUUACGUCCAGGGCUUCACGCAUGCUACAAUGGCCGGUACAACGGGAUGCGACGCGGCGACGCGGAGCGGAUCCCUGAAAACCGGUCUCAGUUCGGAUCGCAGUCUGCAACUCGACUGCGUGAAGGCGGAGUCGCUAGUAAUCGCGAAUCAGCAACGUCGCGGUGAAUGCGUUCCCGGGCCUUGUACACACCGCCCGUCAAGUCAUGAAAGUGGGCAGCACCCGAAGCCGGUGGCCUAACCCCUUGCGGGAGGGAGCCGUCUAAGGUGAGGCUCGUGAUUGGGACU
RNAcentral lists this ribosomal RNA (965 nucleotides) under uncultured bacterium. Its description in RNAcentral is "bacterial SSU rRNA". It matches the Rfam family "Bacterial small subunit ribosomal RNA", at positions 523 to 1482 of the family's 1533-position model. The record is from RNAcentral.